GAAAUGCGAUAAGUAAUGUGAAUUGCAGAAUUCAGUGAAUCAUCGAAUCUUUGAACGCACCUUGCGCUCCUUGGUAUUCCUUGGAGCAUGCCUGUUUGAGUAUCAUGAAAUCUUCAAAGUAAAUCUUUUGUUAACUCAAUUGGUUUCUACUUUGGUAUUGGAGGUCUUUGCAGCUUCACACCUGCUCCUCUUUGUUCAUUAGCUGGAUCUCAGUGUUAUGCUUGGUUCCACUCGGCGUGAUAAGUUAUCUAUCGCUGAGGACACUGUAAAAGGUGGCCAAGGUAAAUGCAGAUGAACCGCUUCUAAUAGUCCAUUGACUUGGACAACACUUUUAUGAUCUGAUCUCAAAUCAGGUAGGACUACCCGCUGAACUUAAGC
Molecule: unclassified non-coding RNA, 378 nt
Filed under: plant metagenome
Description: partial contains 5.8S ribosomal RNA, internal transcribed spacer 2, and large subunit ribosomal RNA
Rfam family: 5.8S ribosomal RNA (bases 1-105)
Source: RNAcentral